Molecule: long non-coding RNA, 1746 nt
Filed under: Homo sapiens (human)
Lineage: Eukaryota; Metazoa; Chordata; Mammalia; Primates; Hominidae
Description: HSALNT0178170
Source: RNAcentral
CCUGGGUGUCCAGGUACUCAGAAAGGAACAGGUCCCAUGUAUGGAUGAGGUAGGAUUUAAUGGGGCAGCCUGAAAGCCCCUGGCCUACUGCCGUGCUUGACACCCGGUCCACAGGAAAGCCAGUUCUGUCCUUCAGCCUAGUACAGUCGUCAAAUACCCCAUCCCUGUUCCCUGGGAAGGCCCUUACAGAUCAGCUCGCUGAAGUCCAAGAAGAAUAAGAUCAAAUUCCCCCCAGACAUUCUGGAACUUCCUCAACCAGCAUCAACCCCUCUUCUAGUAAUAGGUUUGUCUUGGCUGUUCUCCAUACCUGCAGCUCAGCCUAUCCACCCCCACCACUUUCCUAGCAAAGAAAAUUCCUUCCUCACAAAACCUGCACCUCCACGUGGCAUACCCUCUCUCUUCAUUGUCUGUUCACAUUCCACCUUCAUGUUUAAGUUCCCGCUCCAGGGACUUCACCCCAUGGAUGACACCCGCUGUCUAGACUCCAAGGCACCUGCAGCCCCUCCAGCUACGACGAUCCUGCUUCCAUGUGUGUUCCUCCUGCCUCCCCAGGAAGGUUGAUGCCUCCCACAAAGCCCAUGUUCUGCUGACAACUUUCUUGUGCCCUCAGGUCUACAGCCAGAAGUGUAGGAGUAUUUCAGAGGAAUGGAUGAUACAUUUGAGGGUAUCCCUGCUCUGGCCAAUUUCGCCUCUGGCCAACCCCACCAGGGUUGUGUGUUAGGGUAGCAGUCCUGAUGAAGGAAGAAUCUUCACUACUAGUCAAGAUGGUUUCUAAACCCUAUUGAGGUCAACAAAAGCAAAAUGCUGCUGAGUUAGGUAUUAAAAAAGAUUGAAGACAUGAAAGAAAGAAUAACUGAAUGUUACUGAUGCCAGAAGCAACUCUCGCUGGGCGCAACUCUCGCUGGGCGCAACUCUCGCUGGGCCUCAGUUUCUCAUGAGCAGAACUGCAGGGGGACAAGAGCGAAGCCACCAGGGGAGCUCUCUCCCAAAGGCCUUGUCGCCCCAGACCUAACUCGCUCCCCCUCAACCUGCCUGAGGAAGAAACUCUCAGGAUUGCACGGAUAUUUUCUUCUCAGUACUCCCAGAAAGACUGACGCAGCCUGAGGGGCUGGGGGGAAGGAGACACCUGCCCACCCUCCGUCAGCUUUGUCCAGCUUGCAGGAGGCACCAGGUCUGGCUCCUUCAGGGCUGUCACAGUCCUGAAACCACCACUUGCCUAGGCCACGGAUGCCUCAAGAGACCCGGUCAGCCCAGACUGGAGGAGUGCCCCAAACCAGUCCAGUGUCCACUUGCCAGAAUUUCAGCUCCUUUUUUCUGUGGUGAGGCAAAGGCUAGAAAUAAAAUGGAAUCCGCGCCCAAGUGGGACCCAAGCAGGCAUCUUUCGGUGGAGAAACGCCCCCCAGUGUCCUUGACACAGCUGACUGCUGGCAUGAGCCCACCCUCUGCCUGAAGAUGCAGGACCAUUUUUGCCUUAAAAGUUGGGGAGGAGGGACAUGUAGAUUGUGUGCAUUGUGCAUAGUCAAGGAAAUCCUAGGGCCACCUCCAGUUCAUUUGUGUGGGAACAAGGAUAUUUUAUAGAUACAAAUUAUUUUUAUGCUGUGUUGAAUUAAUCAAUUAGGAGAGGAAGGGGAAAUCACUUCCUUCAAACUUUUUAUCUGAUUGUCUAAAAUUCUAACCAUGCUUUUAACUUAUUAUUUUUACCCAGCUCUGAAGGUCAUUGUUCUUGCCUGUGUUUGAAUAAAAUCA